This 465-nucleotide ribosomal RNA is filed under the name uncultured Klebsiella sp. Its description in RNAcentral is "bacterial SSU rRNA". It matches the Rfam family "Bacterial small subunit ribosomal RNA", at positions 338 to 795 of the family's 1533-position model. The record is from RNAcentral. Lineage: Bacteria; Pseudomonadati; Pseudomonadota; Gammaproteobacteria; Enterobacterales; Enterobacteriaceae.
CCUACGGGUGGCUGCAGUGGGGAAUAUUGCACAAUGGGCGCAAGCCUGAUGCAGCCAUGCCGCGUGUGUGAAGAAGGCCUUCGGGUUGUAAAGCACUUUCAGCGGGGAGGAAGGCGUUAAGGUUAAUAACCUUGGCGAUUGACGUUACCCGCAGAAGAAGCACCGGCUAACUCCGUGCCAGCAGCCGCGGUAAUACGGAGGGUGCAAGCGUUAAUCGGAAUUACUGGGCGUAAAGCGCACGCAGGCGGUCUGUCAAGUCGGAUGUGAAAUCCCCGGGCUCAACCUGGGAACUACAUUCGAAACUGGCAGGCUAGAGUCUUGUAGAGGGGGGUAGAAUUCCAGGUGUAGCGGUGAAAUGCGUAGAGAUCUGGAGGAAUACCGGUGGCGAAGGCGGCCCCCUGGACAAAGACUGACGCUCAGGUGCGAAAGCGUGGGGAGCAAACAGGAUUAGAUACCCGGGUAGUC